AGUCGAGCGCCGUAGCAAUACGGAGCGGCAGACGGGAGAGUAACACGUGGGAACGCACCCUUCAGUUCGGAACAACCCAGGGAAACUUGGGCUAAUACCGAAUACGUCCGUAAGGAGAAAGAUUUAUCGCUGAAGGAUCGGCCCGCGUCUGAUUAGCUUGUUGGUGAGGUAACGGCUCACCAAGGCGACGAUCAGUAGCUGGUCUGAGAGGAUGAUCAGCCUCACUGGGACUGAGACACGGCCCAGACUCCUACGGGAGGCAGCAGUAGGGAAUAUUGGACAAUGGGCGCAAGCCUGAUCCAGCCAUGCCGCGUGGAUGAUGAAGGCCUUAGGGUUGUAAAGUCCUUUCGGCGGGGAAGAUAAUGACGGUACCCGCAGAAGAAGCCCCGGCUGACUUCGUGCCAGCAGCCGCGGUAAUACGAAGGGGGCUAGCGUUGCUCGGAAUCACUGGGCGUAAAGCGCACGUAGGCGGCUUUUUAAGUCAGAGGUGAAAUCCUGGAGCUCAACUCCAGAACUGCCUUUGAUACUGAAGAGCUUGAGUCCGGGAGAGGUGAGUGGAACUGCGAGUGUAGAGGUGA
Molecule: ribosomal RNA, 578 nt
Filed under: uncultured Alphaproteobacteria bacterium
Lineage: Bacteria; Pseudomonadati; Pseudomonadota; Alphaproteobacteria
Description: bacterial SSU rRNA
Rfam family: Bacterial small subunit ribosomal RNA
Source: RNAcentral